CUUUCACACUGGCUCUUGCUGGCUCUUGUAGAUGUCGUGCUUUUUCUGAGUUGGGAGCUCAUGGCAUCGUGCUUGGCAUUUUGGCAGUUUGGCAUUUGCAGAUUGCUGGUGAGGUGACUGGGAGAAGCUCUUAGAGUGCUUGCAAAUAAAGAUAUAAUGAAAGCCGAAGAACUGUGAAGUAAGUUCACUGAUAACUCCAAGGAAUAUAAUUUUGCAUGCUAAAGAAAAGGCCACUUGAUGGCACAUUGGAUAAAAUGCCAGGAAUGGAAAUAAGAAGACAUCUUCCUGAAUUCAAAUCUGGUCUCAGACACUUAAGCUGUGUGAUCCUGAACAAGUCACUUAAUUCUACUUCAUGAUAUUUACACCAUGAUCUUUACCAAGAAAAUCUCAAAUGGGAUCAUGAAGACUCAAACAUUACUGAAAUAACUAAACAGCAUAUUCCUUCUUUUCAAGUGUUUUGUUGUAUACCCCCCAGUUAGUACUGUUUACUUCAUUAUCUACUGAUCUUCAUACUAGUAAUUCAAACAUGCUAGCAUUACUAGAGAUCAUGGAUUUAUUCAAGUGAAUGUUUUCCUAAAAUAUACCAUUCCAUUUCACUGUGGUUUCUUUUUACUUUCUUAAAAAUUACAUAAUUUUCUUAUGAUAGUCCAGUGAUAUUUUGCUUGCUCCACAUUCUCCUAUUUUACCUUAAAUUCCUGAACACUUUUCACCUUAAUUUCCCACAAAGGUCUGCCCAUAGUCCUCUUUUCUCCAUUGUUUAAGUCAUCUAAUCCAUUGCUUUAAAUAUCCGUUUAUGUAAGUUGACCCCCUGAGCCAUCACCAUGUGAUUCCAUCUCUUUUCUUUAUUAAAAUUUAUUUUGAUAUUUUCCUUUACA
This 875-nucleotide long non-coding RNA is filed under the name Monodelphis domestica (gray short-tailed opossum). Its description in RNAcentral is "lncRNA (ENSMODG00000036448.1)". The record is from RNAcentral. Lineage: Eukaryota; Metazoa; Chordata; Mammalia; Didelphimorphia; Didelphidae.